This 448-nucleotide ribosomal RNA is filed under the name uncultured bacterium. RNAcentral's name for it is "bacterial SSU rRNA". It matches the Rfam family "Bacterial small subunit ribosomal RNA", at positions 29 to 520 of the family's 1533-position model. The record is from RNAcentral.
AGCGAACGCUGGCGGCAGGCUUAACACAUGCAAGUCGAGCGGGCGUAGCAAUACGUCAGCGGCAGACGGGUGAGUAACGCGUGGGAACAUACCUUUUGGUUCGGAACAACACAGGGAAACUUGUGCUAAUACCGGAUAAGCCCUUACGGGGAAAGAUUUAUCGCCGAAAGAUUGGCCCGCGUCUGAUUAGCUAGUUGGUGAGGUAACGGCUCACCAAGGCGACGAUCAGUAGCNGGUCUGAGAGGAUGAUCAGCCACAUUGGGACUGAGACACGGCCCAAACUCCUACGGGAGGCAGCAGUGGGGAAUAUUGGACAAUGGGCGCAAGCCUGAUCCAGCCAUGCCGCGUGAGUGAUGAAGGCCCUAGGGUUGUAAAGCUCUUUUGUGCGGGAAGAUAAUGACGGUACCGCAAGAAUAAGCCCCGGCUAACUUCGUGCCAGCAGCCGCCG